GUCUUUCAGGAUGAAUGCCAUCCACACAAAAGAGCUCCUGUUGACAUCUCAUUUACAAUCUCCCCCAGGACACAGACAAGACCCUUUCAAUAAAUCCAGCUCAGAAACACCUAUUGUUCAAAAUCUUCAACUCGCCACAGGCUACCACCACUCCCUAUGGCUUUGCAAAAUUAAAGAUUUAGAAGAAGGAUGGGGCGGUGGAAGCUAUGAAAAGAGGCAGGAAAAAAGUUCCUUUGACCCGAUGCUGUCAGAGAGCGUGCAUGAAGAAGAAAGUUAAUGGUAUUUCCAUUUAUAUAAGAAGCGCCUAAGAAAUGCCUGUGACGUUCGUGAACUAGUGAUUGUGAAUUCCAAAUUUGAUGCCAACUUUAUGUGUAAAGAAGCUAACUCCUGCCAACAUCGUGGCUGAAUGAACAGCUGGGACUAUGCUUAACCCAUUCCCAGCUUAUAAAAGCCCCAUGGCAGCUGCAGUGAAGCAUCAGAAAAGUAUAGUAAGAAGAAACUGAAUUUGAAGUGGAUUCUUACAAAGGAAAAAGAAAAUCACUAUUGUAACUAUACCAAAUUACUAUGUAUGUGAGCUCCCAGCUUUGACAUCAAGUCGUUACAGCCACGUAAUGGGAUUACGGGUGAUUUUUACUUUAUUCUUUGGGCUUCUCUGAAUUUUCCUAUAUUUUGAAAAAGCACCUGCAUUAUUUUGUAAUUAUAAAAAAGUAUAAAUAAGAAUUAUACACACUAUUAUUUCUUCACUGCUAUGACAUGACUAGAUUACAAUUUUUUUCUUUUUGAGAUGACUUUCGGUCUUGUUUCCCAGGCUGGAGUGCAGUGGCACGACCUCGGCUCAUUGCAACCUCCACCUCCCGGGUUCAAGCAAUUCUCCUGCCUCAGCCUCCCCAGUAGCUGGGAUUACAGGCACCUGCCACCACACCUGGCUAAUUUUAGUAGAGAAGGGGUUUCGCCAAGCUGGCCAGGCUGGUCUCGAACUCCUGACUUCAGGUGAUUGAUCCACCUGCCUCGGCCUCCCAGAGUGCUGGGAUUAGAGGCAUGAGCCAUCGCGCCUGGCCUAGAUUAUGGAAUUUUUGUAUUACCAUGUAUGUUGCCGUGUAAUUUUUGUUUUGAACCUUUUUUAUUUUUCUUUUAAUUCCUUUGAGACAGGAUCUUGUUCUGUUACCCAGGCUCACUGCAACAAGGUGAUUUUCCCGCCUCAGCCUCCAGAGUAGCUGGACUACAGGCCGGUGCCACCACACCCAGAUAAUAUUUUAUAUUUUUUGUAGAAAUGGGGUUUUGUUUUGUUGCCCAGGCUGGUCUUGAGCUCCUGGGCUCAAGCGAUCCACCCUCCUCAGCCUCCCAAAAUACUGGGAUUACAGGCAUAAGCCACUGCACCCGGCCUUGAGCAUUUGUUUUUUGAAGGAAAUUUUAUAUGAUUACCACAUAAAAAAGGAAUACUAAAAAUCUAACAUUAUUUGAUAUCUCACUGUCUUUGAAAACUUAAGGAACAUGGACCCAUACAAGGCAGCCAAAUAUUGGCCGGUAACUCCUUUACAACUGGGCUGCAGCAUAUUUUAUUACCUUCUCCUGACAAUUUCUUAUCUGGCUGCUUAUCAUUUCCAGAACAUACCAUCCUUUUGCAUGCCUUUACGCCAGUGGCAAACAUGGUUGUUUGCCUCCUCAUAACCAUUCUCUCUAUCCUGCUUGCUAAUGAGACCCCAGUACUGUUGAUCUUUUCCACACAGCUGUGAGUUUUAGGGGUGGCUAAGCCCCUCCCUACACGUGGAGGCUGAAUCUUCACCAGACUACCAGACAAAGAGAUGAGAAGGGAGGUUGGAUGGGAAUGUUCUGGGAAAGUUUACCUCACUAUUUAAAGCCACCCAAGUCAGGGACAUCCUUUUUCUUCCUCUGGACUUUGUCAUCUGCAAGGGAUGCUGGAACUGUGGCUGCCAUCGGGGGACCACAGAAAGUACUGGCCUAAGAAGACCAGCUCAGCUGGGCGUGGUGGCCUGUAAUCCCAGCAUUUUGGGAGGAUGCGGGCAGAUCAUGUGAAGUCGGGAGUUCAAGACCAGCCUGACCAACAUGGAGAAGCCCUGUCUCUACUAAAAAUACAAAAUUAGCCGGGUGUGGUGGCGCAUGCCUGUAAUUCUAGCUACUGGGGAGGCUGAGGCAGGAGAAUUGCCUGAAUCCGAGAGGUGGAGGUUACAGUGAGCGGAGAGGGCGCCACUGCACUCCCGUCUGGGCCAAUGAGAGUGAAACUCCAUCUCAAAAAAAAAAAAAGAUGAGCUCACACUGGGGAUGACGGGUGGAAGAAAGGCCAGCUGUAAUGAACUUGCUGGUUUUGGUAAAUUCAUUGCCUUACCCUUGGACCUGGUAUUGUUUGAGAAAAUAAAUUAUUUUGCCAUCU
RNAcentral lists this long non-coding RNA (2389 nucleotides) under Homo sapiens (human). RNAcentral's name for it is "HSALNT0392566". The record is from RNAcentral. Lineage: Eukaryota; Metazoa; Chordata; Mammalia; Primates; Hominidae.